CAGACAAAUCCGCAAACAAAGCUUCACGUGUUACGGUGUUUGAUAAACAAUAAAGGGAAGGAGAUCAUUUCGUUUAAUUUAUUGAUAAGAAGUAGGUAUAGUGCAUACUAAUCAUUGAUUUCCUUAUGCUUUAAAACAUAGUGUGCGCAUAUGAGUGUACAUUUUCAGAAAUUAAAUGCACGCGAGCUUUCAUAGGUUAUGUUUUCAUGAACUUUUCCAUGUUAAGGAGGUGGUUGUAAUUACUUUCUUUAUACGUUUUUUCCCUACAUUUGAAUAUUUCCGAGAAGUUUAAAGGAAUAUAUAUUAAAUACUUCAUUUUAUAGAAAAAUAAAAUUGUCCUGGUCUUGCAAAAGUAUAAGGAAAACAUGAGGUUGUUGAAUAUAAAGUCAUUCUUAUACUAUAUUCAUUUGUAUAUUUGUGAGUCAAUUUUCUGUUUCUGUAAUUUUUUUCUCUAGUUACUUGAAUCAUGGCUUGGUCCAAAAAAGGGACAAUCACUCGUGGUCUAAAAAAGGGAAAUAAACGAGCUAUCGUUAGCGUUCCAUCUGGCUGUGUUUCUUAUGAUAAGAAAAAGGGUAGAAUUUUAGCCAAAUUUAUGGAGCCACCUUAUGAUAAUGAAGAUACAGAUCUUCUGUAUACGCUUGUUGAAAAUGAAGAAAAUGCUCCAGAGAGUUGGCCUACUUAUUCAGUCCAAAUCAGAGGUCAUGUCCAAACUUACAGUGAAGCCUUAAAAAGAUUGAAAACACUGGAGAAUGAGGACAAUGCUUUUACAACAGACACUGAUGGUGAUCCUUAAGCUAUUAAAGCUGAAAAAUAGAAAAAAUAUUCAAAACAAAAAAGUAAGUAGUGAGUAAAGAAAUUCGCAAUGCAAUGGACGUGCCUUCCAUCGAAUCAGAUGCAGCUGAAGAGUUAGACAAUAGUCUAGAUUCUAGCAGUAUUGAUGAAAAUGCUCCUCCCAGAAGUAAGAGGCAAAAGAUUUCAUCCAGACUUGAACCUGUGUACAAAACAAAAAAUCGUCCUCCAAUAGGAAAACGGAACAAAACUGAUUCUAAAAUUGCAGCGACUGUGAGUUCAGGAAAACAGUAAUCUUGUCAUCAGAAGUCAUCCACUGACUUCGAAAAGCUAUCCACUUCUAGUGCUGUCAGUAACGAAAGAGGCUCCAAAGGAAAUAUAGAUGGCAAGGUUGAUAAUUCCAUAGCUAAGCCCCUGUUAGCUGAAAAAGAAGAUGGAAAAUAAGUUACGGGGGCAGCAACAAAAAAACUGAACAAAAUAUUCAAAGAUCGGAAGAGCGGUGAGAAAAGAACAAAACUUCAUAAUUAAACACAAUCUCAGUAUACCGUUUAAAACUAUGGAUGAUUUUAAAGAUUUUGACAAGAACCUUACAAGCAUGGACGAGUUUCGAACAGAGUUUAUCGGGAAUUAAGUUUAAUCAAAAGCUGCACGAACAUUGUUCGAAAAUAUCUCUCAAGAGGCGUGAUCGUAUAAUUCACAUCAAAAAUAAGAAUGCCUGGAAAGUUUCUGAUGAAUUCUACGAUGUUUUACGAUUGCAUUUUAAGCGUGAUGAUUCAGACGCACAAAGACGUUCAUACUGAAAGGGCUAUUACAGAGCAAACUUUCUUCAGCACAAUAGGCAGGGUAUUCAAUAAUUCGAAGAAUUGGGAUGGUCAGCGGGAGAAGAGGGCCGUACUGCAGCCGAUUAAACCUAAGCCUCAAAAUCAGAACUUGGAGGAACAUAAUGAUCAGAGCGAACAGAAAGAUGAGGAAGAAACUGAUCAAGAUUGUGAGAACCGAAAUUCUUUCAAGAUUGUAGGUGAUAUGUUAAUGAUAAAUAAUGCAUUCCAAAAGUUAUUUGAAGCUUGCUGGUGUUCACUUUAAAUCUAGAUUGUAUUUAGAGAUAUAUAAAAAUAGUCUGAAAAGUAGAAAGACUGAAUUAAUCUUACAAGGGUUAUGUUUUUAAAAAGAUUUUCUUCAAUAGAAACGAAGUUUUCGAAAACACUA
This is an RNA transcript of Belonocnema kinseyi, 1995 nucleotides long. RefSeq lists it as uncharacterized. The record is from RefSeq and is a predicted model, not a curated record. Lineage: Eukaryota; Metazoa; Arthropoda; Insecta; Hymenoptera; Cynipidae. The transcript has 6 exons.